GUGGGGUAACGGCCUACCAAGGCGACGACGGGUAGCUGGUCUGAGAGGACGACCAGCCACACUGGGACCGAGACACGGCCCAGACUCCUACGGGAGGCAGCAGUGGGGAAUCUUGCGCAAUGGGCGAAAGCCUGACGCAGCGACACCGCGUGGGGGAUGAAGGCCUUUCAGGUCGUAAACCCCUUUCGGCAGGGACGAAGCGAUCUCGUGACGGUACCUGCAGAAGAAGCCUCGGCUAACUACGUGCCAGCAGCCGCGGUAACACGUAGGAGGCGAGCGUUGUCCGGAAUCAUUGGGCGUAAAGAGCGCGCAGGCGGCUUGGCAAGUCGGGUGUGAAAUCCCGGGGCUCAACCCCGUGACUGCAUCCGAUACUGUCAGGCUAGAGGUAGGUAGGGGAGAUCGGAAUUCCUGGUGUAGCGGUGAAAUGCGCAGAUAUCAGGAGGAACACCGGUGGCGAAGGCGGAUCUCUGGGCCUUACCUGACGCUCAGGCGCGAAAGCUAGGGGAGCGAACAGGAUUAGAUACCCUGGUAGUCCUAGCCGUAAACGUUGGGUGCUAGGUGUGGGCGGAUAUCAACCCCGUCCGUGCCGAAGCUAACGCAUUAAGCA
Molecule: ribosomal RNA, 607 nt
Filed under: uncultured Actinomycetes bacterium
Lineage: Bacteria; Bacillati; Actinomycetota; Actinomycetes
Description: bacterial SSU rRNA
Rfam family: Bacterial small subunit ribosomal RNA
Source: RNAcentral